Molecule: transfer RNA, 56 nt
Filed under: Trichuris sp. LO613
Lineage: Eukaryota; Metazoa; Nematoda; Enoplea; Trichinellida; Trichuridae
Description: tRNA-Val
Source: RNAcentral
UAGGGUAUAGUAUAUUUGUAUAUUUUAUUUACAAUAAAAAGGUUUAUAAACUCUAA